GGAUGAACGCUGGCGGCGUGCCUAAUACAUGCAAGUCGAACGAGGCGCUUUUUGUAGCAAUACGAGGAGCGUCCUAGUGGCGAACGGGUGAGUAACGCGUGGGUGACCUGCCCCAAAGUGUGGGAUAACAGUCCGAAAGGAUUGCUAAUACCGCAUGUGGUCGCUGAGUUUAGAAGUUAGCGACUAAAGCAGCAAUGCGCUUUGGGAGGGACCUGCGUCCCAUCAGCUAGUUGGUAAGGUAACGGCUUACCAAGGCGACGACGGGUAGGGGACCUGAGAGGGUGGCCCCCCACAAUGGAACUGAAACACGGUCCAUACACCUACGGGUGGCAGCAGUAGGGAAUAUUGCACAAUGGGCGAAAGCCUGAUGCAGCAACGCCGCGUGCGCGAAGAAGGUCUUCGGAUCGUAAAGCGCUUUUCUGGGAGAUGAGAAAGGACAGUAUCCCAGGAAUAAGUCUCGGCUAACUACGUGCCAGCAGCCGCGGUAACACGUAGGAGGCGAGCGUUAUCCGGAUUCACUGGGCGUAAAGCGCGUGCAGGCGGUUCGGUAAGUUGGGCGUGAAAUCUCCCGGCUCAACUGGGAGAGGUCGUUCAAUACUACCGGACUUGAGAGCGAUAGAGGAAAAUGGAAUUCCCGGUGUAGUGGUGAAAUGCGUAGAUAUCGGGAGGAACACCAGUGGCGAAAGCGAUUUUCUGGAUCGUUUCUGACGCUCAGACGCGAAAGCUAGGGUAGCAAACGGGAUUAGAGACCCCGGGUAGUCCUAGCCCGUAAACGAUGUGAACUUGGCGUCGGUGGCUUAAACUCCAUCGGUGCCCGAAGCCAACGCGAUAAGUUCACGCCUGGGACUACGACCGGCAAGGUUAAAACUCAAAGGAAUUGACUGGGGCCCGCACAA
Molecule: ribosomal RNA, 896 nt
Filed under: uncultured bacterium
Lineage: Bacteria
Description: bacterial SSU rRNA
Rfam family: Bacterial small subunit ribosomal RNA
Source: RNAcentral